GUGAGGAAUUUUCCGCAAUGGGCGAAAGCCUGACGGAGCAAUGCCGCGUGAAGGAUGAAGGCCUAUGGGUUGUAAACUUCUUUUCUCAGAAAAGAAUUAUGACGGUAUCUGAGGAAUAAGCAUCGGCUAACUCUGUGCCAGCAGCCGCGGUAAGACAGAGGAUGCAAGCGUUAUCCGGAAUGAUUGGGCGUAAAGCGUCUGUAGGUUGUUUAAAAAGUAUUCUGUCAAAGAUUAGGGCUUAACCCUAGAUAGGCAGAAUAAACUUUUAAGCUAGAGUUUGGUAGAGGCAGAGGGAAUUCCCGGUGGAGCGGCGAAAUGCGUAGAUAUCGGGAGGAACACCAAAGGCGAAGGCACUCUGCUGGGCCAAUACUAACACUGAGAGACGAAAGCGAGGGGAGCAAAUGGGAUUAGAUACCCUAGUAGUCC
Molecule: ribosomal RNA, 426 nt
Filed under: uncultured bacterium
Lineage: Bacteria
Description: bacterial SSU rRNA
Rfam family: Bacterial small subunit ribosomal RNA
Source: RNAcentral